GAAGUGCGAUAAGCAAUGCGAAUUGCAGAACCGUGAGUCAUCAGAUUUUUGAACGCAACUGGCGCCGACUGGCUAUCCAGUCGGCAUGCUUGUUUCAGUGUCUUGUUUUCUCAUCACCCAAAUCAUAAUGUGAGAGAUACCCUUCUCUUGCUAAGUAUGAAAGCACUCUGAGCCCUGCAAGCAACUUGACUUCGGUCAAUGGUUGCACUCAAUGCAGCAGUCACAUUUUUCAAGUGUGAACUCAUUGAGAGUAGAGUCAGUGCAGAUUUAUCUGCGAGUGCUUAGCCCUCCAAACUCUUCUUGCAUCUGAAAUCAAGCAGGAUCACCCGCUGAACUUAA
This 339-nucleotide unclassified non-coding RNA is filed under the name uncultured fungus. Its description in RNAcentral is "sequence contains ITS1". The stretch from base 1 to 103 matches the Rfam family "5.8S ribosomal RNA", at positions 50 to 154 of the family's 154-position model. The record is from RNAcentral. Lineage: Eukaryota; Fungi.